UGUCCUGCCACCGCUCUGAGCCUCGGACCCUCUCGGGCGCGGGGCUGUGGCGGGUCUGG
Molecule: non-coding RNA, 59 nt
Filed under: Sus scrofa (pig)
Lineage: Eukaryota; Metazoa; Chordata; Mammalia; Artiodactyla; Suidae
Source: RNAcentral